AGAAUCAACGCUGGCGGCGUGCCUAACACAUGCAAGUCGAACGAGAAAGUGGGAGCAAUCCCACGAGUAAAGUGGCGCACGGGUGAGUAACACGUGACUAACCUACCCUUGAGUGGGGGAUAACCUAGGGAAACCUGGGCUAAUACCGCAUAAUACCUACGGGUCAAAGGAGCAAUUCGCUUUAGGAGGGGGUCGCGGCAGAUUAGUUAGUUGGCGGGGUAAUGGCCCACCAAGACAGUGAUCUGUAUCCGGCCUGAGAGGGCGCACGGACACACUGGAACUGAAACACGGUCCAGACUCCUACGGGAGGCAGCAGUGGGGAAUUUGCGCAAUGGGGGAAACCCUGACGCAGCAACGCCGCGUGGAGGAUGAAGCCCCUUGGGGCGUAAACUCCUUUCGAUCGGGAAGAUAAUGACGGUACCGGAAGAAGAAGCCCCGGCUAACUUCGUGCCAGCAGCCGC
Molecule: ribosomal RNA, 461 nt
Filed under: uncultured bacterium
Lineage: Bacteria
Description: SSU rRNA
Rfam family: Bacterial small subunit ribosomal RNA
Source: RNAcentral